GAGAAAUCGAGUGAUGAGAUCCAGAAAGAGAGUCGCAUGCAUCUUACUUUUGCUAGCUGUGGUAUUUGCUGCUUGUUGGCUGCCUUACCACAUCAUGAACUUGGUAAUGAACAUAACAGGCCAUACAGAAGCAGAGUCCGUUAACGUAUAUCUCUUAUUGCUGGGCCACUCAAAUUCAGCAUUAAACCCGAUUAUUUACUGUGCUCUGUCCAGGAAUUUCAGAAAUUCAAUCAAGAGCCUGUUGAAAUUUAAAAUUCGAUGUAGGAGGAAGAAACACAACCCCAUGAACCAUUGGGCGGCCGACAGUUCAGGUUCAGGAUUUCAAGUUCCAGCCAACAAAGCUUUACCUUUACUUAAUCCUCCCAACGACUUUGGAAUCAGCAGGAGACAGUCCUCUCAAAAAACCAGGACUUGUGCGGUGUAGAUAACAGUGAAUUUAUCCAGUUAAAAAAAUCAAAAUUUUAUUAGUCAGAGUGUUCGAAUCACAGAGUGGUGUAUACAGUGUAAAUAGCAGAAAAUUAUCCAGGGGAAGCUUCCGAAAUUAAAUUAGUAUUAGAUUUUAUUCAAUAAGUUUUCAAAAUUUCAAAUUGUGUAGGAAGUGAUCAGUGGUCAUUUAAAGGUUCUUUGAUUAAGUUGACUUAGUUUCCAAUUAAUCAUGGUAAAAAAGUUCCUUUUUUAUAAAACUAAAAUAUGCGACUUUUGUAAUUUUAAACUUUUUAUAAACGGAACUAGUUUCAAGUAUAUUAUAAUUCAUGCAUCAACAUGUACAUAGUAAUUGUUAUAAUAUUUUUAUCACACUAUUGAUUUAUAAAGUUUACAGAGCAUUAAAAGUAUUUGUUUGCUAAAUAAUAAAACUACUUUACUUUGAAAUAUAUCAUGUAACAAACUGUGCAAAUAGAAAUUUAUUAGUGACUAUUAUAGCAUUGUGUUUUAUAAUUAACUACAUAUAAGUUUUAAAUUUAAGCGAGAAUAUGAAGAAUUAAAAAUUCAGAAGAAGUUCAGUUAUCUGAGGUUUCAAUUCUUGCAAUUUGAAUAAUUUUAUAAAAUAAUUAAACGAAUGUUAGUAUUAAGCCACUGUUUCUUGGAACAUUUUCCAUGUUCAUACAUACAUCCCAUAUAAAUAUUGUAAGUAGGCCAAUAAUAUGCGUCAAUAAACUAUCUGAAUGUAUAUUGAUUUCUAAAUGUUACAAAGACUUUACUGAUUUCUAGCUUCUUUUGCAAUUCGUUAGAUAAUAAAUUGUAAAACAUACUUAUAUUACUGAGAAAAAUCUGCAUUAUUGCUAUUAAAUGUGGUGUUUAAUAUUCAGCUGUAUAUAAAUGGUCAUAUAUUUUGUUUAAUAAAUCAGGGAAAAUUAUAA
Molecule: long non-coding RNA, 1358 nt
Organism: Dendroctonus ponderosae (mountain pine beetle)
Lineage: Eukaryota; Metazoa; Arthropoda; Insecta; Coleoptera; Curculionidae
Exons: 2
Source: RefSeq, a predicted model, not a curated record